RNAcentral lists this ribosomal RNA (253 nucleotides) under uncultured bacterium. RNAcentral's name for it is "partial 16S ribosomal RNA". It matches the Rfam family "Bacterial small subunit ribosomal RNA", at positions 524 to 776 of the family's 1533-position model. The record is from RNAcentral.
UACAGAGGUCCCAAGCGUUGUUCGGAUUCAUUGGGCGUAAAGGGUGCGUAGGCGGCGCGGUAAGUCGGGUGUGAAAGCCCUCGGCUCAACCGAGGAAUUGCGCUCUAAACUGUCGUGCUAGAGGAACCUAGAGGUGAGCAGAACUGAUGGUGGAGCGGUGAAAUGCGUUGAUAUCAUCAGGAAUACCGGAGGCGAAGGCGGCUCACUGGGAGUUUUCUGACGCUGAGGAACGAAAGCCAGGGUAGCGAACGGG